RNAcentral lists this long non-coding RNA (1199 nucleotides) under Hordeum vulgare. RNAcentral's name for it is "long non-coding RNA (HVUL_LNC001827)". The record is from RNAcentral. Lineage: Eukaryota; Viridiplantae; Streptophyta; Magnoliopsida; Poales; Poaceae.
UAAAACAAAACCAGUAGUACUCCUACAAAAAGAGGGACGAAGCGGCAGGGACAGGACGAGCGGACCACGGCGAGGGAGGGCAGCCACGUGAGAGAGCCCGGAAAGCGGAGGAGAGGCACGCGGGAAAGCGCGGAAUUUUGUUGCGAUGCCGCGCGGGCGAGCCGUGUCGCGGCCCUCGUGCGCGGCGGGGGAUAAUACGGUUUUCGAUCUCUUUUCGAUUCCGCCCGCGCCGCGAAACCGCGGCGCCGGUGCGUGAGCUGAGGGGCGUGACACCAGGCACGAAGGGGGACGCUGCCACUGCUCUGAACGGCGGCAGGGCCAUCAACACGCGUACUGCUGCUAGCGAGUGCUCGUCGUCUGCUACAGCUUCGCAUGUGCUUUUCGAGCCUGGGAUGCCCAGCAGCUUCUUCUCCCGGCAGCAGUACACCGAAUUUUAGCACCGUAUGUUUAUCUCGUCGUGGUUUCAAUUUUUCAUGAGCUUCCCACGCCCAUCUUCUUGAUCCAAGGUUCCGAAGUAACAACCCAGAGUGUUUGUUUGAAUUGUUUUUAAGUUAACAGAAAAUCUGCUACGAUUCCAUUAAAUAAAAACACACCGUCGACGAAAACUGUUCGGUUUAUUAGAGGUGUUUGUUUGAAUCUUGACAGUGAUUUUUUACUCCAGUUUUUUGCAUGCCAACCUGAACAGCUGAACUGCUGAAGAUAGCGUUUUCAUGGAGCUAUCACGGGCAGCUGGUUGUUGCAAGAUAAAAUUGACAUCUACUAUUGUUUUACGGGGCAAACAUAUUGAAAUCUAACUCGGUCUUGUCUUCAAUUUGGAACGACUAAUCUCCAGUUUGGCAACCGACAAGACAAUGUCUACCACACACCCACGUCAUAUCUUCACGCACUUGGUCUCAUGGCCCGGCGCCCGCAGAAUUAUUUUAUCACAAUUUUGCUAACCGCUUCUAAAAAGACGCCUCAUCAUGAUAAUUAACUGCUCAACCAACUGCCCAUAACUAUAAGCUAGCUAUCAUCCUUUGCUAACUAAUGUAGUGUUCACCAAUCAUGUGUUGGUCAUCUUGAAAUGCAUUUUUGUGUACCUUUUCUUUUUGCUAACUAAUAUUUUUUUGUUGUUGCAGGGGAACUAAUAUACUCCUGUUUACCAAUCUUUUUUUUUUGCACAUUUUCUCUUGGAACAUUUCCUGCUGUACAAACAAGUA